CUGCAAGGAUGAGAAUCCUGAACUCUCUCUUUCUGAUGCUGAAGUGAAGAAUCUCUUAAAGUUCUGAGUGGC
Molecule: small nucleolar RNA, 72 nt
Organism: Oxyura jamaicensis (ruddy duck)
Lineage: Eukaryota; Metazoa; Chordata; Aves; Anseriformes; Anatidae
Product: small nucleolar RNA SNORD26
Exons: 1
Source: RefSeq, a predicted model, not a curated record